Oreochromis aureus is the source of this 1085-nucleotide long non-coding RNA. The record is from Ensembl. NCBI's taxonomy places the organism in Eukaryota, Metazoa, Chordata, Actinopteri, Cichliformes, Cichlidae.
CCCAUGACAAAAGCUGCUACUCAUGGAGACAGAUGCUCAGCUUAUUAUUAAACUAUUAUACCUAGUAAGAUUUUAAUAGUGGCCUAUACUAAAACCUUUGGAGACGGCCUGCAAAAAGACAUUUUCACGUUGUAUCAAAUGAGCAGUAUCCAUGUUGUGAACAGAGUUUUUCUUUCAAUUGUCCCGGCACACAAGUUGAAAUUCAAAUUUGCAGAGAAAUGGAUCAGCAGCAGCAUUGGUGAUAUUCCUGGGAUGGGGCCCGGCUAGCUCUUGGAAGGCCUCCAUGCUGCCGUUCAUCACUCGCGACCUACCCUUCAGGCCACUCCUCUGUUUCCUCCACUCAGACGCCCGUGCCCCGGUCUCGAUGAAAGUGCUCAAGAGGGCACCGUGAGGACUACUUCGAGCGCGCGACCAGCCAGCUCAUGCCAGCACAGGCGUUUUAUAAGAUUUUGGGGUUUUUCAUUGUUCCACCCAGUUCACCCAGCGGUCCCACAUUGCAGCAGGGACAGCCACGACAGAGUUUUCCCUCCUCUCCUUCUGGCAUCCCCGCUCCCUCUUCCACAAGGAAGCAUUGAUGUGAACCCAUUUUUGUGUGUCAUCAUAGCAAACUCUGCUCCUUGAGACACCAACUGUAGCAGGAACUACCUCAGACAUUUUGGUGUUAUGACUCGCAGUGUCGUGCAGACCAUCCACGAGUUUAGUGCUUUAAAUUUUGAGCUCGUGCUGCUGAGAGCCGUGCGCUCACUGGCUGACAGGCUGACAGACUGACUGCUCCACUCCAGGUCUGCUCUUCCCACAACACUCACAAGACCAACCGGCACACACCCGGCGGAGGAGUGCCGGGGGACGGGAUGCCGGCGGCGGUGCCCACGUAAGAGAGAGGAGAGUCUGGAGCUCCUGCACCGGCAGCACAAACACGGCUGUCCGCCGGUCUCCAGUCGGUGAAAUAAUCACCUCUUACAUCCACCGAUCCCGCUGAUUGCUGAGCAGGUGGAAAGAGAAGGGGCAGACUGCGCGCACUCCGGGACCAUGAUCCGGAGCAGCACACGGGUUAUUUCUCAAGGAUAGAGCUGAGAGGAAGAGAA